AGUGAACGCUGGCGGUAGGCCUAACACAUGCAAGUCGAACGGCAGCACAGUAAGAGCUUGCUCUUACGGGUGGCGAGUGGCGGACGGGUGAGGUAUACAUCGGAAUCUACUUUUUCGUGGGGUAUAACGUAGGGACACUUACGCUAAUACCGCAUACGACCUACGGGUGAAAGCAGGGGAUCUUCGGACCUUGCGCGAUUGAAUGAGCCGAUGUCGGAUUAGCUAGUUGGCGGGGUAAAGGCCCACCAAGGCGACGAUCCGUAGCUGGUCUGAGAGGAUGAUCAGCCACACUGGAACUGAGACACGGUCCAGACUCCUACGGGAGGCAGCAGUGGGGAAUAUUGGACAAUGGGCGCAAGCCUGAUCCAGCCAUACCGCGUGGGUGAAGAAGGCCUUCGGGUUGUAAAGCCCUUUUGUUGGGAAAGAAAAGCAGCAGGUUAAUACCCCGCUGUUCUGACGGUACCCAAAGAAUAAGCACCGGCUAACUUCGUG
This 492-nucleotide ribosomal RNA is filed under the name uncultured bacterium. RNAcentral's name for it is "partial 16S ribosomal RNA". It matches the Rfam family "Bacterial small subunit ribosomal RNA", at positions 29 to 507 of the family's 1533-position model. The record is from RNAcentral.